CGAACGGGUGAGUAACGCGUGAGGAACCUGCCUCAAAGAGGGGGACAACAGUUGGAAACGACUGCUAAUACCGCAUAAGCCCACGGGUCGGCAUCGACCAGAGGGAAAAGGAGCAAUCCGCUUUGAGAUGGUCUCGCGUCCGAUUAGCUAGUUGGUGAGGUAAUGGCCCACCAAGGCGACGAUCGGUAGCCGGACUGAGAGGUUGAACGGCCACAUUGGGACUGAGACACGGCCCAGACUCCUACGGGAGGCAGCAUG
This 258-nucleotide ribosomal RNA is filed under the name uncultured bacterium. RNAcentral describes it as "partial 16S ribosomal RNA". It matches the Rfam family "Bacterial small subunit ribosomal RNA", at positions 99 to 353 of the family's 1533-position model. The record is from RNAcentral.